This 376-nucleotide unclassified non-coding RNA is filed under the name uncultured bacterium. Its description in RNAcentral is "contains 16S-23S intergenic spacer region". The record is from RNAcentral.
UCCGCUUUACAGCGGCAGUUUGUUCCGAGUCCCCGACGUUACUCGCUGGUAACAGAACAUGAGGGUUGCGCUCGUUGCGGGACUUAACCCAACAUUUCACAACACGAGCUGACGACAGCCAUGCAGCACCUGUGGCACACCCUCGAAGGUCACACGUUUCCGUGCGCUUGCAGUGCCAUGUCAAGCCCAGGUAAGGUUCUUCGCGUUGCAUCGAAUUAAAGAACAUGCUCCGCUGCUUGUGCGGGCCCCCGUCAAUUCUUUUGAGUUUUAGUCUUGCGACCGUACUCCCCAGGCGGGCCACUUAAUGCGUUAGCUUCGGCACGGGGGGAGUCGACACCCCCCACACCUAGUGCCCAUCGUUUACGGCGUGGACUAC